GAGAACUGCAACAUUGCCUGUUGUCCUGCAGGCAGUAGUCCCGCAGCAAGCCAGCAUGCUUUCCUGGGGACAUGAUACCUGAGCUGGGCGUUUAAGGAUGCACUGGAGUUGUCCAGGUGGUGAAUAAGAGAAUGCACUCCAGGCAGAAGGAAGAGCAGGUGCAAAGGCUUAGAGACACGAAAGAGGGUGUUGUAUUUAAGGAAUGCCGGAAAGCAAUGAAGAUUCUAGAGGCACCUGCAUUCCUUGGCUUGUGGCCUCUUCCUCCAUCUCAAAGUGCAUCGCUCCAAUUUCUGCUUCUGUCAUCACAUCGCCUUUUCCUCCAGCUCCGACUCCUCCUGCAUCCAUCUGAAAAGGAUAAUCCAGGAUAUUCUCCCUAUCUCAAGAUCCUUCAUCACAUCUGCAAAGUCUCAGGUAUGGGUGGGGCUGAGGAUAUAAUCAGUUCUGGGCAAAAUUCCUCUGGAUGUGCAGAUUUGUGAAACUAGAAAACAAGCUUUCUGCUCCCAAAAUACAGUGGUGGGACAGCAUAAGACAACAGUUAUAGACAUUUCCAUUCAAAUAGGGAGAAAAUGGAAGGAAAAAAGGAGUCACCAGUCCCAAGCAAUUUCAAAAUCCAAUCAGACAAACUCCAUCAGGUUUCAAGGCCUGGGAAAAAUCCUCUGCCCUCUGUAUGCAAAACAGCAACAACAGCAGCAACUUUGGACCUUACCUCACACCAUCUAUAAAAAUGAACUCAAAUGAAUUAUAGUCCCCUAAAGAAGCAUUAUGCUAAGUGGAAAAGCCAGACACAAAAGCACACAUCAUAUAGGAUUCAGUACAUAUGAAAUUCUAGGAAAUACACAGCUAUCAUGACAGAAGGCAGAUCAGUGACGGCCAGUGGCCAGGCUGCUACCAAAGGGGCCACGCAGGACGUCCUCUGGGGAAUGCUGGCUCCCACACCACCCGCCUCGGCUCCUGGGCCAAGGUUUUGCCUUGAUCUGUCCAUCCCACUGCACAUGGCUUCAAGGAGGCAUUCAUGGGAAUCCCUGCUCAGGUCAGGCAGCAUCGUGUCAAGGUCAUGGCCCCUUGAAGAUUCUUUGAGGAAGUGGCUGUUGAGCUCCCAACCCCAGGGCUGGAGCAGGAGGAUCAGACACCCCGGCCUCAGCCCCAGAGCAUGAAAGCCCUCCCCACUCACCCAGCUGCUCUGCAGACCCACACUUGCACACAACUCCAUGUGCCACUGACCAGCUCUGACCUCGUCCUGGGCAAGGCUGGCGGGGCCUAGACCCAAACCCACAACAGUGUGUGGCUCCCAGGGAGGCAGCGUUUCCUGGGCACCAGCUCUUUAGAGAAUGCCUUCAGAAGUCCCCAUCCAGCCUCUCCCCUCAUGAAAUCCUGUCCUUGAAUCAUCCAGCCUAGCCCCCUGAGUAGCUGUGCAUUUCCGAGACCCCGAAUCCAUAAUAUUCAUAUGAAUGAGGUGGAGGGCAGGGAGAAUCGCUGCCAUUUAUUCAACCCUUAAUAAAUGCUGGGGGCUGCACAAAGCACUUUAAAUAAAUACAGCCUCUCAUUUUAAUCCUAAA
RNAcentral lists this long non-coding RNA (1556 nucleotides) under Homo sapiens (human). RNAcentral describes it as "HSALNT0290886". The record is from RNAcentral. Lineage: Eukaryota; Metazoa; Chordata; Mammalia; Primates; Hominidae.